GAUCCUGGCUCAGAUUGAACGCUGGCGGCAGGCUUAACACAUGCAAGUCGAACGGUAACAUAGAGAAGCUUGCUUCUUUGAUGACGAGUGGCGGACGGGUGAGUAAUGCUUGGGAAUCUGGCUUAUGGAGGGGGAUAACUACCGGAAACUGUAGCUAAUACCGCGUAAUAUCGAAAGAUUAAAGUGUGGGACCUUCGGGCCACAUGCCAUAGGAUGAGCCCAAGUGGGAUUAGGUAGUUGGUG
This 243-nucleotide ribosomal RNA is filed under the name uncultured bacterium. RNAcentral describes it as "partial 16S ribosomal RNA". It matches the Rfam family "Bacterial small subunit ribosomal RNA", at positions 15 to 254 of the family's 1533-position model. The record is from RNAcentral.